RNAcentral lists this ribosomal RNA (833 nucleotides) under Halobacterium sp. 0Cb11. RNAcentral's name for it is "bacterial SSU rRNA". It matches the Rfam family "Archaeal small subunit ribosomal RNA", at positions 384 to 1213 of the family's 1478-position model. Lineage: Archaea; Methanobacteriati; Methanobacteriota; Halobacteria; Halobacteriales; Halobacteriaceae. The record is from RNAcentral.
AGUGUGAAGGCAUANAGCCUUCACUUUUGUACACCGUAAGGUGGUGUACGAAUAAGGGCUGGGCAAGACCGGUGCCAGCCGCCGCGGUAAUACCGGCAGCCCGAGUGAUGGCCGAUAUUAUUGGGCCUAAAGCGUCCGUAGCUGGCCGGACAAGUCCGUUGGGAAAUCUGUUCGCUUAACGAGCAGGCGUCCAGCGGAAACUGUUCGGCUUGGGACCGGAAGACCUGAGGGGUACGUCCGGGGUAGGAGUGAAAUCCUGUAAUCCUGGACGGACCACCGGUGGCGAAAGCGCCUCAGGAGAACGGAUCCGACAGUGAGGGACGAAAGCUAGGGUCUCGAACCGGAUUAGAUACCCGGGUAGUCCUAGCUGUAAACGAUGCCCGCUAGGUGUGGCGCAGGCUACGAGCCUGCGCUGUGCCGUAGGGAAGCCGAGAAGCGGGCCGCCUGGGAAGUACGUCUGCAAGGAUGAAACUUAAAGGAAUUGGCGGGGGAGCACUACAACCGGAGGAGCCUGCGGUUUAAUUGGACUCAACGCCGGACAUCUCACCAGCUCCGACAGUAGUAAUGACGGUCAGGUUGAUGACCUUACCCGAUGCUACUGAGAGGAGGUGCAUGGCCGCCGUCAGCUCGUACCGUGAGGCGUCCUGUUAAGUCAGGCAACGAGCGAGACCCGCACUCCUAAUUGCCAGCAGUACCCUUUGGGUAGCUGGGUACAUUAGGUGGACUGCCGCUGCUAAAGCGGAGGAAGGAACGGGCAACGGUAGGUCAGUAUGCCCCGAAUGAGCUGGGCAACACGCGGGCUACAAUGGUCGAGACAAUGGGAUGCAACUCCG